GGUAAGGUUUAAAUUCCCUCACAAUUCCAAAAUAAACGUAUGAGAACUUGGUGUGUAAUCAGAAGUGUCCCUACCCUCCAAACUACCAAAGGACUGGACCAGGCUGUCACUCUCCUUCCCAGCCCUUCAUGUCCCUGCCUCUGUGAACAGGCAGACAAGUCCUCCAUUGUGCCAUGAAAUCUGUCCCCCCACCCUCCCCGCGUCCCUCCCUCCCUUGGUCAUGUGGUACUGCGGGCCGCCAGCUCGAGGAUAGGCAGGUGCCAAGCACUUGGCUACCCAAGGCGCCCACGGAUGUCUGCAUGUCUGUGUGCACCAGGCCUUGUCCUGGGGCUGCCGCAGGGAAUAAGCCAGAGUCGCUGCCCACCGGGCUCCCCUCCUAGAGGGCGACUCAACAGGUCAGCAAGUCCCUCAGCAAGGAAGUGACAGACAGCAGUACGUGCUGUGAAGGGAAUUCACAGGCGGACAGGGGACUGUGAGGAGGUGACAUCUGAGCUGAGAAGGUGCUGGGAGGGAAGACCUGGGGACCGGGCAUCCAGGCAGGAACUGGAAGAGCCAACAUCCGGGGCAGGAGAGAUCUUGGCUUUGAGGAGCCACACAGACACCACUGGGGUGGGAACAGAAUGGUGCCCGGGGAGGCUGGCACCCGGGGGGGUUCCCGGCGGAGGCACUGGCUUGCUCUCUGUUGCUCUCCAAGGUGAGACAAAGGACUGGAGGGGUGUCUGCCCCUAAAACCCUAAUCCCCACCCAGCUGCUGGGAAAGCUGGAAGUCUACAUCUGGUCAACAAAAGCCCUUGGCAGCAGGCGAUUGCCUCAGAAUGUCCUUGAAAGUCAAAUAGCAGGUUUCAGGUUCCAGAAUAUUCAGGUGUGAGUGCUCCGGGAAAAUCAGAGCCCACGGGGACUGACGCCAGCAAGUCUAUUACCUGCUGAUGACAGGGACAGUCCUCGGGCCAAUUUGCGAGAACGUUCCUCUGCUUUCCCCUAAGCCUUGGAAACGACUGAG
This is a non-coding RNA of Manis javanica (Malayan pangolin), 1000 nucleotides long. The record is from RefSeq and is a predicted model, not a curated record. Lineage: Eukaryota; Metazoa; Chordata; Mammalia; Pholidota; Manidae.